This 253-nucleotide ribosomal RNA is filed under the name uncultured bacterium. RNAcentral describes it as "partial 16S ribosomal RNA". It matches the Rfam family "Bacterial small subunit ribosomal RNA", at positions 524 to 776 of the family's 1533-position model. The record is from RNAcentral.
UACGUAGGGGGCAAGCGUUGUCCGGAAUCAUUGGGCGUAAAGGGCGCGUAGGCGGCCAUCUUUGUCAGGCGUGAAAGCCCUGGGCUCAACCUGGGAAUUGCGCUUGGGACGGGGUGGCUUGAGAUCGGGAGAGGAGAGUGGAAUUCCCAGUGUAGAGGUGAAAUUCGUAGAUAUUGGGAAGAACACCGGUGGCGAAGGCGGCUCUCUGGACCGACACUGACGCUGAGGCGCGAAAGCGUGGGGAGCAAACAGG